RNAcentral lists this small RNA (27 nucleotides) under Bombyx mori (domestic silkworm). RNAcentral describes it as "ovarian small RNA-21640". Lineage: Eukaryota; Metazoa; Arthropoda; Insecta; Lepidoptera; Bombycidae. The record is from RNAcentral.
UACUUGAAAAGCAGCAGACGGUUUCUG